Sebastes umbrosus (honeycomb rockfish) is the source of this 969-nucleotide long non-coding RNA. RefSeq lists it as uncharacterized. The transcript is spliced from 4 exons. The record is from RefSeq and is a predicted model, not a curated record. Lineage: Eukaryota; Metazoa; Chordata; Actinopteri; Perciformes; Sebastidae.
CCUGUCAGCUGAUGGGAUCACACGUGGUUUGAACAUGGAGGAGACAGACAGGAUUGUUUGUCUGUCAACACGUGUGAUCCUCGCACUCUCAGGUGAACUGAGGUGCAGACAGUCAUCGAUGCAAAUGGACAUCUAGUGUCCUCCUUCAGCAGCAGAUGUCUGCCCUGAGGUUCCAUGUGUUCGACCAGGUUCCAUGUGUUCGACCAGGUUCCAUGUGGGUUGGUGGGUCGAGCGAGGACAUGUUGAAUCCCACUGAUAUCCACGAUGACGGAGUUGAUAGCUGAAAUCUUCCUGGCCCGUACGGCUGCCAUGUCGAUGGAACUGGACUGCCGGUCGGCAGAGAGCCUGUGGAUAUCUUCCAUGAGGUGAGUCUUUCUUACGUUCCAUGUCGCUGCUGAUGUCCCCGUCCACAUCGGUGCUUUGCUGCCGAGCCAUCUGCUGUGUGACCCCCACCACCCCGUCAGAGAUUCCCUCUGUCCCUCAUGGCGUCCUGUAUCUGUCUGUUGAGCUCGGCGAUGAUCCGGUCUUCGUGGGUGUAGACGCCGGUCCUCAGCAGAGUGUCUCUCUCCUCCAGCAGGCGGCUCAGGUGAUCGUCGGCGCUCUCGUUCAGGUUGUGAGCGGGGGCGGGGCCACUCAGGGAGGAGGCGGGGCCUAACCGCUCGUCCUGCUGCUUUAAUCUGUCAAACAAAAUAUAAAAAACCCUUUACUUACUGGUACAGUACAUACAUGUUCUACUACACUGAUUCCACUUGAUUAAUGACUGUUCACAUCACACUAUAUAUAUAUUAACUUGUCUACCACAGCUUUUUAUUUUAUAUAUAUUUUAUUCCUAUAUUUUAGCAGCUGCACUCUUAUGUUUUAUAUUCUAAUAAGUAAUAAAAAAUGCACAUAUGUAUGAGCUUUGUUGGAGAGAGCGACUGCUUCACUGUCAUACUUUUCAUGACAAUAAAGAACUUUAAACCUCACUGA